CCACGGAUGUUUGAGCAUGUGCU
Molecule: microRNA, 23 nt
Filed under: Callithrix jacchus (white-tufted-ear marmoset)
Lineage: Eukaryota; Metazoa; Chordata; Mammalia; Primates; Cebidae
Also listed under: 9 other names
Description: Cja-Mir-105-P2_3p* (star (passenger))
Source: RNAcentral